Non-coding RNA from Arabidopsis suecica, 179 nucleotides. Lineage: Eukaryota; Viridiplantae; Streptophyta; Magnoliopsida; Brassicales; Brassicaceae. The record is from the annotation of a GenBank genome assembly.
GCCCUUUGUACACACCGCCGUCGCUCCGACCCAUUGAAUGAUCCGUGAAUGUUUCGGAUCGCGGCGACGUGGUGUUUCUGCCGCCCCGCACGUCGCUAGAAGUCCACUAGAACCUAUCAUUUAGAGGAAGGAGCAGUCGUAACAAGGUUUCCGUAGGUGAACCUGCGGAAGGAUCAUUG